UACGGGGGGGGUAAGCGUUGUUCGGAAUUACUGGGCGUAAAGGGCUCGUAGGCGGCCAACUAAGUCGGACGUGAAAUCCCUCAGCUUAACUGGGGAACUGCGUCCGAUACUGGAUGGCUUGGAUUUGGGAGAGGGAUGCGGAAUUCCAGGUGUAGCGGUGAAAUGCGUAGAUAUCUGGAGGAAUACCGGUGGCGAAGGCGGCAUCCUGGACUAAUACUGACGCUGAGGCGCGAAAGCUAGGGGAGCAAACGGG
RNAcentral lists this ribosomal RNA (253 nucleotides) under uncultured bacterium. RNAcentral's name for it is "partial 16S ribosomal RNA". It matches the Rfam family "Bacterial small subunit ribosomal RNA", at positions 524 to 776 of the family's 1533-position model. The record is from RNAcentral.